AUACGGAGGGUGCAAGCGUUACUCGGAAUCACUGGGCGUAAAGCGCGCGCAGGCGGGCUGAUAAGUUGGAUGUGAAAGCCUACGGCUCAACCGUAGAACUGCAUCCAAAACUGUCAGUCUAGAGUGUGGGAGAGGAAGAUGGAAUUAGUUGUGUAGGGGUAAAAUCCGUAGAGAUAACUAGGAAUACCAAAAGCGAAGGCAAUCUUCUGGAACACUACUGACGCUGAGGCGCGAAGGCGUGGGGAGCAAACAGGAUUAGAGACCCUAGUAGUCC
RNAcentral lists this ribosomal RNA (274 nucleotides) under uncultured bacterium. RNAcentral describes it as "partial 16S ribosomal RNA". It matches the Rfam family "Bacterial small subunit ribosomal RNA", at positions 523 to 796 of the family's 1533-position model. The record is from RNAcentral.